RNAcentral lists this ribosomal RNA (428 nucleotides) under Bacillota bacterium. RNAcentral's name for it is "Firmicutes bacterium partial 16S ribosomal RNA". It matches the Rfam family "Bacterial small subunit ribosomal RNA", at positions 355 to 776 of the family's 1533-position model. Lineage: Bacteria; Bacillati; Bacillota. The record is from RNAcentral.
UAGGGAAUCUUCGGCAAUGGACGGAAGUCUGACCGAGCAACGCCGCGUGAGUGAAGAAGGUUUUCGGAUCGUAAAGCUCUGUUGUUAGAGAAGAACGUUGGUAGGAGUGGAAAUCUACCAAGUGACGGUAACUAACCAGAAAGGGACGGCUAACUACGUGCCAGCAGCCGCGGUAAUACGUAGGUCCCGAGCGUUGUCCGGAUUUAUUGGGCGUAAAGCGGGCGCAGGCGGUUCUUUAAGUCUGAAGUUAAAGGCAGUGGCUUAACCAUUGUACGCUUUGGAAACUGGAGGACUUGAGUGCAGAAGGGGAGAGUGGAAUUCCAUGUGUAGCGGUGAAAUGCGUAGAUAUAUGGAGGAACACCGGUGGCGAAAGCGGCUCUCUGGUCUGUAACUGACGCUGAGGCUCGACAGCGUGGGGAGCAAACAGG